Molecule: ribosomal RNA, 253 nt
Filed under: uncultured bacterium
Lineage: Bacteria
Description: partial 16S ribosomal RNA
Rfam family: Bacterial small subunit ribosomal RNA
Source: RNAcentral
UACGGAGGGGGCUAGCGUUGUUCGGAAUUACUGGGCGUAAAGCGUGCGUAGGUGGUUCGUUAAGUCUGAUGUGAAAGCCCUGGGCUCAACCUGGGAAUGGCAUUGGAAACUGGCGAUCUAGAGUGCGGUAGAGGGUAGUGGAAUUCCCGGUGUAGCAGUGAAAUGCGUAGAGAUCGGGAGGAACAUCCGUGGCUAAGGCGACUACCUGGACCAGCACUGACACUGAGGCACGAAAGCGUGGGGAGCAAACAGG